UUGACAGCUCUGGAGACUCAUAAGAACACAAACAGAAAGGACAACAACAAUGCAAGCUUCCUCCUCAAGCUGUCCCUUCACAAUGUGCCUCCACCCUGGCCUGGAGGAACCACUUCAAUGACUGUGGGGAGUUCAGUCUCUGUGGACUCUCAGUUAAGACUACA
This 164-nucleotide small RNA is filed under the name Gopherus agassizii (Agassiz's desert tortoise). Its description in RNAcentral is "TUC338 (ENSGAGG00000008997.1)". Lineage: Eukaryota; Metazoa; Chordata; Testudines; Testudinidae. The record is from RNAcentral.